GACAGAGGCCUCGAGCGUUAGGCGGAAUCACUGGGCUUAAAGCGUGUGUAGGCGGAUCGUUAAGUACCUUGUGAAAUCCCACGGCUCAACCGUGGAACGGCUGGGUAUACUGGCGGUCUUGGGCCAUUCAGGGGCGACUGGAACAAGCGGUGGAGCGGUGAAAUGCGUAGAUAUCUGGAGGAACACCGGUGGCGAAGGCGGCAUCCUGGACCGACACUGACGCUGAGGAGCGAAAGCCAGGGGAGCAAACGGG
Molecule: ribosomal RNA, 253 nt
Filed under: uncultured bacterium
Lineage: Bacteria
Description: partial 16S ribosomal RNA
Rfam family: Bacterial small subunit ribosomal RNA
Source: RNAcentral